GCCAGGGGCGGUGGGGCCGGCCUGUAAUCCCAGCCACUCAGGAGGCUGAGGCAGGAGGAUGGCAAGUUCGAGGCCAGCCUGGGCAACUCAGCAAGACCCUGCCUCAA
RNAcentral lists this small RNA (107 nucleotides) under Marmota monax (woodchuck). Lineage: Eukaryota; Metazoa; Chordata; Mammalia; Rodentia; Sciuridae. The record is from RNAcentral.